Molecule: unclassified non-coding RNA, 214 nt
Filed under: uncultured fungus
Lineage: Eukaryota; Fungi
Description: sequence contains ITS1, 5.8S rRNA gene
Rfam family: 5.8S ribosomal RNA (bases 166-214)
Source: RNAcentral
UUUCCGUAGGUGAACCUGCGGAAGGAUCAUUACAGUUUUUGCGUGUGCUUAAGUGCACCGCAUAUCCACACUGUGCGUACGCCACGAAUAUCUCCGGGAGCAUGCUCUCGGAUGUUAACUCAACAAACAGUUUUAUUAUCAGUCAUGAAUAACACAAAUAUUCAAAACUUUCAACAACGGAUCUCUUGGUUCUCGCAUCGAUGAAGAACGCAGC